UUAUCUUAGAAGCACAAUUAAAAACAACAUAUAUACGGAAAUAUCUCGUUUAAUACACAUCGCAGAUCAUAACACUGUCACAUUUUUAUCCAACUUUCAAACAGAAACACCAAACACAAAUUGAUCAAAAUGGUUUUGUGCUGGAUCCGAGAUGAAAUUCCAGAGAAGAAUUCUGACCCACAUAUGAAAUAUCCAGGUCAAUAUUUGACCCCUGAAGAAUUAUACAUAACAACAGGUGUUCGAUUAUCACAGGUACCAUUAGAACACCUCACUAAUGAAGAUCGUUUGGCCGAGUUGAGGAAAUUCAAGGGUUAUGUCUACAACGAUUAUGUUACCAUUGUACGUGGUAAAACAGAAGAAGAAAAGAUAAAGAUGCAGGCAUACAUGACCGAACAUAUUCACCAUGAUCCAGAAGUCAGACUUAUUGUUGAUGGAAGUGGUUACUUCGAAGUUCGUGAUAUCGAUGAUAACUGGGUCAGAAUGCACGUGUUCCCCGGUGACCUUAUUGACCUCCCAACUGGUAUCUUUCACAGAUUUUCAUUGGAUAAUGAUGAGUAUGUAAGAAUGCACCGACUCUUCACAGAUGUUCCAGAUUGGACUGCUGUUAACAGAACUGAUAUUAUCACUCAUCCUUCCCGGGACAGAUAUCUGGAAUACAUGAACCAAGUCAAAACCGGAUUAAUUGAAGCUAAUUAAGAUCAAAGAUUGAAGGCCAUGGGUCAAACUGUGUGGUGUUGAAGGAAUGGAUUUAUAGAAAUGACUAUAACAGUUUACGACGCUGUAAUAAUAUAUUAACUCAGUAGGCAUUUGAUUUUAG
Patella vulgata (common limpet) is the source of this 817-nucleotide long non-coding RNA. RefSeq lists it as uncharacterized. The record is from RefSeq and is a predicted model, not a curated record. The transcript has 5 exons. NCBI's taxonomy places the organism in Eukaryota, Metazoa, Mollusca, Gastropoda, Patellidae.